Molecule: long non-coding RNA, 879 nt
Organism: Cheilinus undulatus (humphead wrasse)
Lineage: Eukaryota; Metazoa; Chordata; Actinopteri; Labriformes; Labridae
Exons: 3
Source: RefSeq, a predicted model, not a curated record
GUUUGUACUCCUGUCUUUACCAGUGAAAUCUGAACUGUUGGACUACAGAAACAUGCCCUGACUUACCGUAAUUUAUGAGUUUAAUACAUUUAGAUAAAUAUCAUCAUAUGUUAUACUUUAAUCUGUCAGUUAAAUACAAAAUAACCGCGCUGGCUAGCUGUAUAUGGUUCGCCUUACCUUCAUCAUCGUCAUUGUCAACAAUUGAUAGAAGAAUCACGGAGAAAUUAAAGGAACAUGCUAACUCAAAAAUCGGAGACAUCUAGCUGGAUUAAACGGAGCUGAGAGGAGAAGAAGAACACGGGAGCGUUUUGAAGAGAAAGACAUCAAUACAAAAAACGCUGCCUGAAGCUCCAAUCACCACCUGACUCACAGCUCCAUCAGGCAGCUUUCAGGUUCACCGAGCAGGACGCUAAAAGUCCUAAAAGUGCCCCCAGUAGGUAAACCCACUCCUCUUUGUGUUUGGCACCGCUGGCCUGACUGUAGGCCGCCCUGACCCCCACCCUUUUAUCCUAAAGAAGUGCGCUAAAGGGUUGUGACAGAGCUGAUGCAUGCACUGAAGUUUCAAGUCUUCCAGGGCUAUUUGAGUCCUUUUUCUGACAUGUUCAACUUUCUGUGUCAGCGUGGAUUUCAUGGUGCAGCCAGAGGAUUAAACGCCCGCUGAAGCGAAGCAUCCUACCUGACUCGUUCUGUCUGUGCAUGGAUAUGGGAUACAUCGUUGGAGGCAUUUGUGUGCGUGGGCGUUGGAAGAAUUAUAAACAGCAGACAAAGGUUCCCUUCUCCACUACUGAGACAGGUGCACCGUUGAGGAAUCACAUUUCCUUCCUCUGUGUGCUGUUCAAACCACAAAUCCUUCACAGAGGAAAAUAAAGGAUUGUUUUU